GUUUACAUAAGGUUUAUUUUUUUUUUACUCUUAACAGCAUAUUCAAUUGUUCUUAUCAAAUUAUUCAGAGGGUAUCAAACUUUUGGAAUGACCAAACUUCUGUGUACAUACACUGGAUUAUUUUUUAGUUACAAAGUAAGGUCAGCCUCAUGAAUGCAAAACAUAACGAAACCAUUUAAGGGCCUGGCAGAAAUUAGUACAUCUUAGACAGUGGG
Molecule: non-coding RNA, 215 nt
Organism: Ceratotherium simum simum (southern white rhinoceros)
Lineage: Eukaryota; Metazoa; Chordata; Mammalia; Perissodactyla; Rhinocerotidae
Source: RefSeq, a predicted model, not a curated record